UCCCUGGUGGCCUAAUGGUUAAGGAUUUAGCAUUGUCACUGCUAUGACACAGGUUUAAUCCCUGGCCCUGGAA
Molecule: transfer RNA, 73 nt
Filed under: Sus scrofa (pig)
Lineage: Eukaryota; Metazoa; Chordata; Mammalia; Artiodactyla; Suidae
Rfam family: tRNA
About the family: Transfer RNA (tRNA) molecules are approximately 80 nucleotides in length.
Source: Rfam by way of RNAcentral